This 2523-nucleotide long non-coding RNA is filed under the name Dromaius novaehollandiae (emu). RNAcentral describes it as "lncRNA (ENSDNVG00000004020.1)". The record is from RNAcentral. Lineage: Eukaryota; Metazoa; Chordata; Aves; Casuariiformes; Dromaiidae.
GGGUGGGGGAGGACCGGGAAGGAGAGGGCGCCCUGCUCUGCCCUUGGGCUGCGCCUCUGUGAGCCAGAGCACGGGAGAGGCAGGAAUUCCCUCUCCUGCCACCACCAUAAAAUGCGGGAAUGUUUCUGGAUGGCUGCGAGGAGUCCUGCCUGGCCCUCAGGAGUCACCCUUUGUACGGCCCCCCGGCUCAUCACGCUCCCCGCCGGCGCGGGCAGCCCCGACGCACGGGAAUGCCCCUGCGGGGCCGCGCAGCUCCUUAAGUAGCAGCGUGCGGCAGCGGCCCCGGCCCGCGUUCUGCUGUCUUCCCGGGACUCCUGCGGCGGGCGUGACGCCAGCCAUGCCGAAGGCAGCCCCGCUCCUCCUAGCCUUGCUGGCCCCGCUGCUGGCCUUCCCCACCAGAGCACCAGAUUUCACCAGAUCUUAUACAGAGAAAGCAGCAGCAAAGAUAGUUGAUGUCAGCUCUUCUGUGAAAGAAACGACUACAGAAAAGAGGGCUUUCCUGGGUAUCACUGCCUUUAUCAAUGAAGACUUCACCAUAAAGACAACACGUGGAAUGAGCAUCAGUGGAAGCAGAGGCAGGAGUGAAUACAGUGAGCCCAGCAUCAUCUCCACAGAGCAAUAUAUGUUCAACAGAACACCAGUUGAGCACAACAUCAAUAUGAAUGAAAAAUCUGUGACUGGAGGCCCACAGGGAUCAUCUAUGUCAAGGAAAAUGUAAGAGGAAAAGAUCAGCCUUCCUUAUUGUCUUUUGUAAAAUGGGUUUCAGUUCACUUCCAAAAGGAAAACAUUAACAUCCAUAAAUCUCAAGCUGAGGAACAGCGCUUUGCCGCACACGGCCACACUGACUAAUUGGAGUCAGAAGCAGGGUCUGGUUCUUCAGAGCUUCAGCUCAGACAUCUGCUUGGGGAGCCAGAGCAAAGCCUGCACAGCACGAAACUGCACACUGCGGGAGGGCUGCACAGCUAUUUACUGACAGCAGCUCAGAGGUACAUGGGAGAGUACAGAUGGGAGAGUCUCCUGACCACAGACACUGGUGAAAGGGCCACCAUGACCUGGAGGAGGUGCCACAGCAAGAACAUCCCACUCAGCGCUCCUGGCCGAAUGCGCUGCCAUGUGUGCAGGAGCGAUGCACACAGCACACACACCAAGAGCUGCAGCACGCUUGGUGCCACCUCCCUGGGGCACCUACCGAUAAUUUUUCAGUUGAACUCCUGCAAGUCUCUACUGAGCACGUGCUAAAGACAUUUCUUCACAGCCUCAUUACUUAGUGGAAUUUGCUUUUGUAGAGUUUUUUUUUUUUUUUUUUUUUUUGGGGGGGGGGGGAUUUCUCUUCUCCCCCCAAGCAGGAACUAUAAAACACACACCUCUAUCACUGCUACACUUCAGCUUUCUGUUCAAAGGCACAGAGUCACUGAAAUUUAUAAGACUAAGUCCUAAAACAAAUUCAAAUGAGGGAAAACAAAGUAUUUUCCCCUCAUUUUCAGAACAUAUCUCAGUAUCUUCUGCUCAACUUUUCAAACAAAAAGUACAAAUUUUAGCCCAAACUAUCACAGUUUGGCCGGGUUAUAAGCAACUUAAAAUCUACAUGUUAGACUGGUAUUUGCACUACCUGCAAUGUUAGAAGAAAGUUGCUGAUGUACUAUGCACCAAUUAAUUGAGAGGCCUGAACGUAAUCUUUAGAAAUAGCUAAGAUACCUUUUUGUAAAAAUAAUGCAUUUUCUGCAAACUGUGUUCACUCUUCACUCCUCUAAACUUUACAAAAUAGUUAUUUACAACUUAGCUGAUAUAGCUGAUAUAGGAAGUGUUUGGAAAAUGUAGGGAUGUGGAAAUUAGUCUCCACAAACAAGAAGUAUAACUUUUAUUACCCAAGCUGGCAGAUUAAUUUAUUCCAAUAUAAUUUUUGAAAAGAGAUGGAAUAUUGAAGAAAAGGAAAUGUGUUAUCAAUUGUCAACAAGGGAAGGAAAAUGAGAUGGGAAAUGACCACCUUAUGUUGGUGCAAGGCAGGGGUGGGAGGGCACCACCUCAGGCAGGGAUGGAUACACAAAUACAAUGCACACAGGGAUCGUUAGAAGGCAUUUAUUACCUCUGUGUCUAUGCGGGGGUUCCCCAGUGUUAUCCCGAUCGAGGCAAUAAGAAGACAGGAGAAUCCCUGGCACCGCUGAGCGUAGGUCCAUGGCGAGGAACCUGGGCAGGGGGAACUAAUAGGUUUUUAUGCAACAGGCACAUGCGCAAUAAGCAGAAUUACAUUAUGAUCGUGAAAUGGUUGUUUGAUAAUAUAGCCACUAAAGCAUGCCAAGCUUGGGGUUGUAACAGAUAAGAUGUGCAGGACAGUUUACACUGUUUCUUUUCCCUCCUGGGACAGUCUGGCUAGUUCCCAUCGCCUAUCUCCUUGACAUUCUUCCGCAUUACUCUAUACACCUUAUAAUCCUUGUAUUUUUCAUUAUUAAAAUAACUGAAAAAAUGUUGAGGAAAAUAUUGCCAAAUUUCUACAAAAGAAUGAAAUAAAGUAUAGUACAUUCCCCA